UACGGGGGGAGCAAGCGUUGUUCGGAUUUACUGGGCGUAAAGGGCGCGUAGGCGGCGCAACAAGUCACUUGUGAAAUCUCCGGGCUUAACCCGGAGCGGUCAAGUGAUACUGUCGUGCUAGAGUGCGGAAGGGGCUACUGGAAUUCUCGGUGUAGCGGUGAAAUGCGUAGAUAUCGAGAGGAACACCAGUGGCGAAGGCGGCGACCUGGGCCAAUAUUGACGCUGAGGUGCGAAAGCGUGGGGAGCAAACAGG
This 253-nucleotide ribosomal RNA is filed under the name uncultured bacterium. RNAcentral describes it as "partial 16S ribosomal RNA". It matches the Rfam family "Bacterial small subunit ribosomal RNA", at positions 524 to 776 of the family's 1533-position model. The record is from RNAcentral.